RNAcentral lists this transfer RNA (68 nucleotides) under Rattus praetor (Large New Guinea spiny rat). RNAcentral describes it as "tRNA-Asp". Lineage: Eukaryota; Metazoa; Chordata; Mammalia; Rodentia; Muridae. RNAcentral also lists the same sequence under 3 other names. The record is from RNAcentral.
GAGAUAUUAGUAAAACAAUUACAUAACCUUGUCAAGGUUAAAUUAUAGAUUCAACCCUAUAUAUCUUA